Molecule: ribosomal RNA, 460 nt
Filed under: uncultured bacterium
Lineage: Bacteria
Description: partial 16S ribosomal RNA
Rfam family: Bacterial small subunit ribosomal RNA
Source: RNAcentral
CCUACGGGGUGCAGCAGUGAGGAAUAUUGGUCGAUGGACGAGAGUCUGAACCAGCCAAGUAGCGUGAAGGAUGACUGCCCUAUGGGUUGUAAACUUCUUUUAUAUGGGAAUAAAAUGUUCCACGUGUGGGAUUUUGUAUGUACCAUAUGAAUAAGGAUCGGCUAACUCCGUGCCAGCAGCCGCGGUAAUACGGAGGAUCCGAGCGUUAUCCGGAUUUAUUGGGUUUAAAGGGAGCGUAGGUGGAUUGUUAAGUCAGUUGUGAAAGUUUGCGGCUCAACCGUAAAAUUGCAGUUGAAACUGGCAGUCUUGAGUACAGUAGAGGUGGGCGGAAUUCGUGGUGUAGCGGUGAAAUGCUUAGAUAUCACGAAGAACUCCGAUUGCGAAGGCAGUUCACUGGACUGCAACUGACACUGAGGCUCGAAAGUGUGGGUAUCAAACAGGAUUAGAUACCCUUGUAGUC